RNAcentral lists this long non-coding RNA (1840 nucleotides) under Sorghum bicolor (sorghum). RNAcentral describes it as "long non-coding RNA (SBIC_LNC003446)". The record is from RNAcentral. Lineage: Eukaryota; Viridiplantae; Streptophyta; Magnoliopsida; Poales; Poaceae.
UCCACACAACCUACGCUAGUACAAGCAACCUCUGAUGCCUCUCUCUAUCCCCUCCCCUUCUGAAAGCUUUCGUUCGCUCCACUUCCACCCGAACACAGAGCAGAGCGCGUGCAGCACCAUGGACGCAGUGGCCAUCGGCGAGCGCACGCAGCGGCAACACAGUCGAGCGCGUGGCCAGUAGAGCAAGCGCACAACAGCAGCGUGGGCAAGUGCGGUGGCCAUCGGCGAGCACCGUGUAGCGGCUAGCAGAGCAACCGCGUGGCGAGCAGAGCCAGUAUGCGCAGUGGCGUCGGGCGAGCGCGCUCAGCUACGACCGGCGAGCAAUCACGUCCCCAACUUGAUAGAAACGACUAGUUUCUUCCCAACGCUGAAAUCACCAUUUCUUGGUGUAUCGGUUCAAGAGUCGACAUGGUUUCCUAUAGAAGAAACGGUUUCCUUUGGUUUUCAUCUCUUUCCUCAUUAAUUAUGAUGCCACAUCAGCAUUUUGCUUAGCUGUCAAGUUAUUUAAUAGGGAUAGAAACUAUCAUUAAUUCUCCGUUGGAGUGCCCUUAUGCCUCGUGCCCAAGAGGCUCGCCGGCGCUUUUCCGUCCACAAAGCGCCGAUGAAGAGAGCCGCCCGACCCGACGCUCUCUAGUUUCUCACGAGCAUUUCGUCAAACAGCUUCGCCGGCGACGGCGAGGCGCCAUUGCGUGGAUGGAUAACCCCCUUGCUUCCGGGUGCGGUGAGGUCUCCUCCGCCACACUCGCCCCGCAUCUUUCAUGUACUAGUAAUCUGGUCCGUCUUUUCUUCGUCUUCCCCUCGAUACCCACUAGCUUGUUGUUAGUAAAGUCCCGUCCUGAAAUAGUAUACCCUUUUGUUGCUCCAGAUGAGCUCGUGUAAUUAGAUAAAUUUGAACAUCUAAUCGCGUACUACCUGUGUUAUCAUCUUGAUCAACACAGUUUAGAUCUAUUGGGGUCGCCAUAUUUUCUAUUGUGAGAAAAGAGUAUGUGUACAAAGUUUGCAAAAGCUGAACUUGUUUAUAUGGUAGGAAUUGGGCUUUUUUUUUUUUUACAAAUUGGCAAGAGCUCAGACUUUCAAUUAAGAGAGACAGAGUAUAUAUACAGGGUGAUCAAAAGCCAAAAUCAAAGCGCUCCAAAGCUCUCAUCUCCUCAGGAAGCUAAACCCGUUGUCAUCUCCUCAGGAAUUGGGCAUUAUCGGCCAACUUUACACCAACAGGUACAAUAUCCUCUAUCAGCUAUACAAUUUGUCUCUAGCUUGACAAGCUCUGACUAAUGAAUACGCUAUUUACAUACAAUGCAAUCAUUGUUCCGCAACGCCUGCACUAUUUGAGCAUCGGGAUUAAUCAAGCUGUCUCACAGUUUACCUCUUCUGGAAGUUGAAUAUCUUGAGCGAGAGCCCGAAAAGCAAGGCAAAGAUCACAGGGAAUGCGACCACCACCACAGCAACCAGCCACAGCAAGUCGUGAUGGUACCCAAAGUAGUCUUCGACAAAGUCAGAUAUACGCACCCCACUGUUACUGAAAUUCUCGGUUACAUCUCCAAAUUGCGAAGUCACCAGUCCGUUGAGUGUCCAUGCAAUUGGGCAAAUCCAGUAGAACCAUCUCCACCAAACUGGAAUUCUCUGUUGGGGGGGGAGUUGCCAUUUUGAGCAAAGAUGAAUUAGCAUAUAUAACCAAAAGUACGAGCACAGAUUGGUUAGAAGUGAAGCUAUACUUACAGUUCUUGGUAUUAAAAAUCCUGAGAAAAGGUUCCAAAUGGCAUAAAAUGCAGUGGAAGCAACAGAGGAGAUAUUGUAGUUCGGAGUCAGGCCCACCACCAUCAUCCCGUAAAAUGUGUAGUAU